This 748-nucleotide unclassified non-coding RNA is filed under the name Bombus terrestris (buff-tailed bumblebee). RNAcentral's name for it is "misc RNA ENSBTSG00005037757.1". The record is from RNAcentral. Lineage: Eukaryota; Metazoa; Arthropoda; Insecta; Hymenoptera; Apidae.
GAUAAUAGUUUACUUAUAAUUAAUAAUAAUAAAAAAUAAUGGGUAAAUUUAAUACGUAAAAUUAGUCCCAGUGGAAAGUUUAAUCUCAGCAGUUGGUAUACAUGCUUUGCUGUUUUCAAUUGUUUCGUCAUUUCGUUGAUCACGUGGAAGUAAACAUGGUUCGUGACAAGUUAAAAAAUUCCUCUUUCUUUUAUAAGUUUAAACUUGGAUAUAGAGCAGCAAAUGUAGCAAGACGCAUUUAUAAUGUAUGUAGACAAGGUGCUGUUGCAUCUCAACAUCUGUUUCCACCUUCCCCACGUACACUACAAAUGCAUCUUGUUACAUUUGCUGCUGUAUAACCAAAUCUAAACACGUAAAAGAAGAAGGAACGAAUUUCUAACUUCUAGCUGUCUAUAUUUACUGCCACGCGACAGCUAUAUGUCAAAACAAUUGAAAACAGCGAAGCAUGUAUACCAACCACGAAGAUUAAACUUUCCACUGAAACCAAUUUCAUACAUUACAUUUACCAAUUACUGCACGAAAUUCGAUUUCUUGUUAUUAUUAACGAAUAAACAUCACGACCUUUUUUCGAUACUUGAUAGAAUUAUAAUAAAAUGAAUAUAAUUUUAUAUUUGCUAGUUAUUUGGUAUAUUUACUGUAUUCUAUUUCUUUGAGAUUCUAAUUUGUAAUUUAAUUUUAUAGACCACCAUAUUUUACUUUUGGUUUAAAUUCUACAUUACUUAGAGCUUUAAACUAAGAUAUAACAAUA